CAACAGGGAUUACCUCAGUAGCGGCGAGCGAAGCGGUAACAGCUCAAAUUUGAAAUCUGGCCCUUCCAGGGUCCGAGUUGUAAUUUGGAGAAGAUGCUUUGGGUGCGGCCCGGGUCUAGGUUCCUUGGAACAGGACGUCAGAGAGGGUGAGAAUCCCGUAUGUGAUUGGGUGCCCGCGCCCGUGUAAAGCUCUUUCGACGAGUCGAGUUGUUUGGGAAUGCAGCUCAAAAUGGGUGGUAUAUUUCAUCUAAAGCUAAAUAUGGGCCAGAGACCGAUAGCGCACAAGUAGAGUGAUCGAAAGAUGAAAAGCACUUUGGAAAGAGAGUUAAACAGUACGUGAAAUUGUUGAAAGGGAAGCGCUUGCACCCAGACUUGGGCGUGGCGGAUCAUCCGGUGUUCUCACCGGUGCACUCCGCCGCGCGCAGGCCAGCAUCGGUUUGGGUGGUUGGAUAAAGGCCGGGGGAAUGUGACUCCUCUCGGGGAGUGUUAUAGCCCUCGGUGCCAUGCAGCCUACCCAGACCGAGGACCGCGCUUCGGCUAGGAUGCUGGCGUAAUGGUUGCAAGCGACCCGUCUUGAAACACGGACCAAGGAGUCUAACAUCUAUGCGAGUGUUUGGGUGUCAAACCCAUACGCGGAAUUAACGUGAACGGAGGUGAGACCCCUUCAGGGUGCAUCAUCGACCGAUCCUGAUGUCUUCGGAUGGAUUUGAGUAAGAGCAUAGCUGUUGGGACCCGAAAGAUGGUGAACUAUGCCUAAAUAGGGUGAAGCCAGAGGAAACUCUGGUGGAGGCUCGCAGCGGUUCUGACGUGCAAAUCGAUCGUCAAAUUUGGGUAUAGGGGCGAAAGUAAGUUUUAAACCCUUUAUCCUGCUAUGUAUAACAACCUACUAACGUUCUAUAGGACUAAUCGAACCAUCUAGUAGCUGG
RNAcentral lists this ribosomal RNA (926 nucleotides) under Chlorociboria argentinensis. RNAcentral's name for it is "LSU rRNA". It matches the Rfam family "Eukaryotic large subunit ribosomal RNA", at positions 66 to 954 of the family's 3401-position model. The record is from RNAcentral. Lineage: Eukaryota; Fungi; Ascomycota; Leotiomycetes; Helotiales; Chlorociboriaceae.